CCUACGGGAGGCAGCAGUAGGGAAUAUUGGACAAUGGGUGCGAGCCUGAUCCAGCCAUGCCGCGUGCAGGAAGAAGGCCUUCUGGGUUGUAAACUGCUUUUGCCGGGGGAUAAAAGACCCAUGCGUGGGGAAUUGAAGGUACCCGGUGAAUAAGCCACGGCUAACUACGUGCCAGCAGCCGCGGUAAUACGUAGGUGGCGAGCGUUGUCCGGAUUUAUUGGGUUUAAAGGGUGCGUAGGCGGCCCCGUAAGUCAGUGGUGAAAUACGGCAGCUCAACUGUCGAGGUGCCAUUGAUACUGCGGGGCUUGAGUACAGUCGAGGUAGGCGGAAUUGACGGUGUAGCGGUGAAAUGCUUAGAUAUCGUCAAGAACACCGAUAGCGAAGGCAGCUUGCUAGGCUGUAACUGACGCUGAGGCACGAAAGUGCGGGGAUCAAACAGGAUUAGAUACCCUGGUAGUCCGCACAGUAAACGACGGUCACUCGGUGUUGGCGGUACACGGCCAGCGCCUUAGCGAAAGCGUUAAGUGACCCACCUGGGGAGUACGCCCGCAAGGGUGAAACUCAAAGGAAUUGACGG
RNAcentral lists this ribosomal RNA (577 nucleotides) under uncultured bacterium. RNAcentral describes it as "bacterial SSU rRNA". It matches the Rfam family "Bacterial small subunit ribosomal RNA", at positions 338 to 916 of the family's 1533-position model. The record is from RNAcentral.